UUUACAGUUCUGUUUCAGAGUGAGUGAGUCUAGGGCUAGGCUAUACAUCCCAUGGUUUACAGUUCUGUUUCAGAGUGAGUGAGUCUAGGGCUAGGUUAUACAUCCCAUGGUUUACAGUUCUGUUUCAGAGUGAGUCAGUCUAGGGCUAGGCUAUACAUCCCAUGGUUUACAGUUCUGUUUCAGAGUGAGUCAGUCUAGGGCUAGGCUAUACAUCCCAUGGUUUACAGUUCUGUUUCAGAGUGAGUCAGUCUAGGGCUAGGCUAUACAUCCCAUGGUUUACAGUUCUGUUUCAGAGU
This 296-nucleotide long non-coding RNA is filed under the name Salmo salar (Atlantic salmon). RNAcentral describes it as "lncRNA (ENSSSAG00000115406.1)". The record is from RNAcentral. Lineage: Eukaryota; Metazoa; Chordata; Actinopteri; Salmoniformes; Salmonidae.